RNAcentral lists this unclassified non-coding RNA (498 nucleotides) under uncultured Glomus. RNAcentral's name for it is "SSU rRNA". It matches the Rfam family "Eukaryotic small subunit ribosomal RNA", at positions 591 to 1092 of the family's 1831-position model. The record is from RNAcentral. Lineage: Eukaryota; Fungi; Glomeromycota; Glomeromycetes; Glomerales; Glomeraceae.
CCAAUAGCGUAUAUUAAAGUUGUUGCAGUUAAAAAGCUCGUAGUUGAAUUUCGAGAUCGGCUUACUGGUCGUGCUUUUGUACGUACUGGUAAAUCGGUUUCUCCUUUCUGACGAACUUUAAUGCCAUUAAUUUGGUGUUUUAGGGAAUCAGGACUGUUACUUUGAAAAAAUUAGAGUGUUUAAAGCAGGCUCACGCUUGAAUACAUUAGCAUGGAAUAACGGAAUAGGACGUUUGAUUCUAUUUUGUUGGUUUCUAGGAUCGACGUAAUGAUUAAUAGGGAUAGUUGGGGGCAUUAGUAUUCAAUUGUCAGAGGUGAAAUUCUUGGAUUUAUUGAAGACUAACUACUGCGAAAGCAUUUGCCAAGGAUGUUUUCAUUAAUCAAGAACGAAAGUUAGGGGAUCGAAGACGAUCAGAUACCGUCGUAGUCUUAACCAUAAACUAUGCCGACUAGGUAUCGGAUGAUGUUAAUUUUUUAAUGACUCGUUUGGCACCUUACG